UCUGCAACUCGACUACAUGAAGCUGGAAUCGCUAGUAAUCGUAGAUCAGCAUGCUACGGUGAAUACGUUACCGGGUCUUGUACACACCGCCCGUCACACCACGAGAGUUUGUAACACCCGAAGCCGGUGGAGUAACCUUUUAGGAGCUAGCCGUCGAAGGUGGGACAAAUGAUUGGGGUGAAGUCGUAACAAGGUAGCCGUAUCGGAAGGUGCGGCUGGAUCACCUCCUUUCUAAGGA
RNAcentral lists this ribosomal RNA (238 nucleotides) under Staphylococcus aureus. RNAcentral's name for it is "partial 16S ribosomal RNA". It matches the Rfam family "Bacterial small subunit ribosomal RNA", at positions 1304 to 1533 of the family's 1533-position model. Lineage: Bacteria; Bacillati; Bacillota; Bacilli; Caryophanales; Staphylococcaceae. The record is from RNAcentral.